GACGAACGCUGGCGGCGUGCUUAACACAUGCAAGUCGAACGGAAAGGCCCUGCUUUUGUGGGGUGCUCGAGUGGCGAACGGGUGAGUAACACGUGAGUAUCCUGCCCUUGACUUUGGGAUAACUUCAGGAAACUGGGGCUAAUACCGGAUAGGAGCUCCUGCUGCAUGGUGGGGGUUAGAAAGUUUCGGCGGUUGGGGAUGGACUCGCGGCUUAUCAGCUUGUUGGUGGGGUAGUGGCUUACCAAGGCUUUGACGGGUAGCCGGCCUGAGAGGGUGACCGGCCACAUUGGGACUGAGAUACGGCCCAGACUCCUACGGGAGGCAGCAGUGGGGAAUAUUGCACAAUGGGCGGAAGCCUGAUGCAGCAACGCCGCGUGCGGGAUGACGGCCUUCGGGUUGUAAACCGCUUUCGCCUGUGACGAAGCGUGAGUGACGGUAAUGGGUAAAGAAGCACCGGCUAACUACGUG
RNAcentral lists this ribosomal RNA (468 nucleotides) under uncultured bacterium. RNAcentral describes it as "partial 16S ribosomal RNA". It matches the Rfam family "Bacterial small subunit ribosomal RNA", at positions 28 to 507 of the family's 1533-position model. The record is from RNAcentral.